GACGAACGCUGGCGGCGUGCUUAACACAUGCAAGUCGAACGGAAAGGCCCUGCUUUUGUGGGGUGCUCGAGUGGCGAACGGGUGAGUAACACGUGAGUAACCUGCCCUUGACUUUGGGAUAACUUCAGGAAACUGGGGCUAAUACCGGAUAGGAGCUCCUGCUGCAUGGUGGGGGUUGGAAAGUUUCGGCGGUUGGGGAUGGACUCGCGGCUUAUCACCUUGUUGGUGGGGUAGUGGCUUACCAAGGCUUUGACGGGUAGCCGGCCUGAGAGGGUGACCGGCCACAUUGGGACUGAGAUACGGCCCAGACUCCUACGGGAGGCAGCAGUGGGGAAUAUUGCACAAUGGGCGGAAGCCUGAUGCAGCAACGCCGCGUGCGGGAUGACGGCCUUCGGGCUGUAAACCGCUUUCGCCUGUGACGAAGCGUGAGUGACGGUAAUGGGUAAAGAAGCACCGGCUAACUACGUG
RNAcentral lists this ribosomal RNA (468 nucleotides) under uncultured bacterium. Its description in RNAcentral is "partial 16S ribosomal RNA". It matches the Rfam family "Bacterial small subunit ribosomal RNA", at positions 28 to 507 of the family's 1533-position model. The record is from RNAcentral.